Molecule: long non-coding RNA, 553 nt
Organism: Mytilus trossulus (common blue mussel)
Lineage: Eukaryota; Metazoa; Mollusca; Bivalvia; Mytilida; Mytilidae
Exons: 3
Source: RefSeq, a predicted model, not a curated record
AUCACAAUAAGUUAUAAAUGUUCACUCUACUUGUAGGACACUAGAGGAAAGAUCAAAAGUCAGAGACAAAAUUGACGUCUCCCGUGGCGAUUGUCCAAUCCGUCAUUUAGAACAUGUAAUGGCUACAGUGAGUUUUGAUUACUCACGCUGUAGAGGAGCAGUUGAAGUAUACCUGAUUUCACCCAGUGGGACCAAAGUAGUUUUGCUUCCUAAACGAUACAACGACGCGUACUAUACGUACUCAACAUCAGGCACCUUUACAUGGACUUACAAAGUUGUUCAUUUAUGGGGAGAAAAUCCUUUAGGAAAGUGGAAAGUUUUACUUAAGGUAGACAGCAUGAAUGUCAGUGCGGAACUAAAGGAGUGGUAUCUUACUCUCUAUGGAACAUCAUCAAACCCGAUGAAAGGUUAAAAACCUGCUUAUCAAGGUGAAUUUGUCAACUGAAUUUCACAGUGGGUCAAUCGUCAAAUGAUUAGACAUUAUUUUAAUAUUCAUAAAAAAAAGUUUUUGUCAUAGGAUUUCCAGAUUAAUAAAGUUUUGUUAUUUAUUUUG